GUUAAGAUUGUCAUGCUGAAUGUUGCUACCGGUCGGUGGAUUGGGGAUGAAUUCCACCAUGGAUGACAUGAACUUGAUCCAGCAAAGGCAUCACUUGGUGGUUAGGGAGCUUGGAGAAGAGAUUGAUUUGGAAAUUGGGCCUGGGGAUGAUGAUCCAUCAUUUGCAAAUACUCCUCUCAUUGGUGGCCCUCCACGGGAACCUUCUGCUGAAGAGCAUGAUGAGAGCAAGCAGGUUGUAAUGGUAUCUCAACUCUCAAGUGAAGACCAGGAUGCGUCGAAGAUGCAACCAGUGAAAAGGAAGAAGAAG
RNAcentral lists this long non-coding RNA (307 nucleotides) under Vitis vinifera (wine grape). RNAcentral describes it as "long non-coding RNA (VVIN_LNC002737)". The record is from RNAcentral. Lineage: Eukaryota; Viridiplantae; Streptophyta; Magnoliopsida; Vitales; Vitaceae.